CCUACGGGUGGCAGCAGUGAGGAAUAUUGGUCAAUGGGAGAGAUCCUGAACCAGCCAAGCCGCGUGAGGGAAGACGGCCCUAUGGGUUGUAAACCUCUUUUGUCGGAGAACAAAACCCGGCACGUGUCCCGUCCUGCGUGUAUCCGAAGAAAAAGCAUCGGCUAACUCCGUGCCAGCAGCCGCGGUAAUACGGAGGAUGCGAGCGUUAUCCGGAUUUAUUGGGUUUAAAGGGUGCGUAGUCUGUUGGUUAAGUUAGAGGUCAAAUGUCGGGGCUUAACCCCGUGCCUGCCUCUGAUACUGUUCGACUAGAGAGCGGAUGCAGCAGGCGGAAUGAGUAGUGUAGCGGUGAAAUGCUGAGAUAUCACUCGGAACACCGAUUGCGCAGGCAGCUUGCUAAUCCGCAACUGACGCUGAUGCACGAAAGCGUGGGUAGCGAACAGGAUUAGAUACCCCAGUAGUC
RNAcentral lists this ribosomal RNA (460 nucleotides) under uncultured bacterium. RNAcentral describes it as "partial 16S ribosomal RNA". It matches the Rfam family "Bacterial small subunit ribosomal RNA", at positions 338 to 795 of the family's 1533-position model. The record is from RNAcentral.